This 263-nucleotide small RNA is filed under the name Atta cephalotes. RNAcentral describes it as "sRNA LOC105622415". Lineage: Eukaryota; Metazoa; Arthropoda; Insecta; Hymenoptera; Formicidae. The record is from RNAcentral.
GAAGUAAAAAUGUUUCUGCUUGCAACAUUUAACACCGCAAAAGGCAACAACAUUAUCGUUUUAAUCUCCUUUUAUUAAGAUGUUUCAGCACGAGUAAAGAUUCAGAGGAACAAAGCAAGGAUUCUAUUUUCGUCUGGAGCCCAAUAUCGGGAAAAAACCCACAAUAAAAGAGAAUGCAGAAGUAACUCAAAAAUUUCAAGCGAAAUUGAGUAACUUUGUACGAAGUUAUGAAAAGUUUUUUCACAAUAAAAAAAUCAGCUACA